RNAcentral lists this ribosomal RNA (465 nucleotides) under uncultured bacterium. RNAcentral's name for it is "partial 16S ribosomal RNA". It matches the Rfam family "Bacterial small subunit ribosomal RNA", at positions 28 to 507 of the family's 1533-position model. The record is from RNAcentral.
GACGAACGCUGGCGGCGUGCUUAACACAUGCCAGUCGAACGGAAAGGCCCUGCUUGCAGGGUACUCGAGUGGCGAACGGGUGAGUAACACGUGGGCGAUCUGCCCUGCACUUCGGGAUAAGCCUGGGAAACUGGGUCUAAUACCGGAUAGGAGCCAUUUUUAGUGUGAUGGUUGGAAAGUUUUUUCGGUGUAGGAUGAGCUCGCGGCCUAUCAGCUUGUUGGUGGGGUAAUGGCCUACCAAGGCGGCGACGGGUAGCCGGCCUGAGAGGGUGGACGGCCACAUUGGGACUGAGAUACGGCCCAGACUCCUACGGGAGGCAGCAGUGGGGAAUAUUGCACAAUGGGCGCAAGCCUGAUGCAGCGACGCCGCGUGGGGGAUGACGGCCUUCGGGUUGGAAACUCCUUUCGCUAGGGACGAAGCUUUUUGUGACGGUACCUAGAUAAGAAGCACCGGCUAACUACGUG